Molecule: long non-coding RNA, 536 nt
Filed under: Homo sapiens (human)
Lineage: Eukaryota; Metazoa; Chordata; Mammalia; Primates; Hominidae
Description: HSALNT0366350
Source: RNAcentral
GUCUGAAAUACCAUCCUGAAUCUGCCCAGCCUUAGCUCCGAGUCUGGAUCCACAGCUUCUCCUCCCCCACUGCUCUCUCAUUUCACAGGCUGCCCUGUCUCUCUCUAUAGCUUUGCUUCCAUAACCCAGGCCUCAGGGCUCUCCUUAUUUGUAACUUCCUAAUUUAGACCCUGGCCAGUAGAAAUGUAUACAGUGAGCAGAGGAGAAGGUCUUAUUUUAGCCAGAACUCCUGAUGCUAAGAAUCAACUCUCAGUUGAAGUGGACCAGGGCCCCCCAUCUGAUGGCCUGGGCCACCCGAGGAGUCUACUUGGGAUGCGUAAUUCACAGGCUCCGUGCAGGGAGAUGUUUAUGGACGCAUUCUACACAUCUCUGGCAUCCUUCUCCAUGAAGCCCGAACCACGCUGGAGAUUUAUGUGACGUGCCUGCUCCCCCUUCGCCUUCCACAAUGAUUAUAAACUUCCUGAGGCCUCCUUAGAAGUCAAGAAGAUACCAGCACCAUGCCUUUUCUAAACCCUACAGAACCAUGAGCCAAUUAA